Molecule: transfer RNA, 73 nt
Filed under: bacterium
Lineage: Bacteria
Also listed under: 1 other name
Description: tRNA-Asn
Rfam family: tRNA
About the family: Transfer RNA (tRNA) molecules are approximately 80 nucleotides in length. Their secondary structure includes four short double-helical elements and three loops (D, anti-codon, and T loops).
Source: RNAcentral
UGGGGUGUAGCUCAACUGGCAGAGCACCGCACUGUUAAUGCGAUGGUUGGUGGUUCGAUUCCACCCGCUCCAG